Molecule: long non-coding RNA, 6097 nt
Organism: Mesocricetus auratus (golden hamster)
Lineage: Eukaryota; Metazoa; Chordata; Mammalia; Rodentia; Cricetidae
Exons: 4
Source: RefSeq, a predicted model, not a curated record
GGAAUCUGCCUUAAUAUUUGGAUAGGUCAGUCCCAAAUCACAGUAAGAUUUCAGAGGCCCCUGCCUGCUCAGAACCUGGCACAAGAAGGGGAAAUGUGUAGGGUAAGAGGGGAUGCUGGGUCCCCUCCCUCCUCCACUCAAGGCUGGACACCUUACAUCACAUGCUUUCAUAUGAAAUGGCUGUUUGGUUUUUACAGAAAAGGCUCGCGAGACAAAAUCUAGAAUAUGCAAAUUGUAUGCAGACACACUAUAUAAAAUACAUAUACAUACAUACACACACAUAUACAUAUAUAUACUUUAACAUAUCUACUUUGAUACACACGCAGUCAUGUGGGGGGCAAUUUAGGUCUCAGAAACAUCGCCAUCAUUUCAAGUUUGUCUUUGCUUGAGGAAUGAAUAAGAUUAUAAUCCUUAAAGAAAAGAAAGAUACCAAAUGUUUUCUGGAUGCAGUGCAAUGAGGUAAAGCCAUCCAGCAUCCAGAAGGGCUCAACCAAUUUACAGGCCUAAGGAGGUGCCAGGCAUUUUUAAAGACACAGUCUUCAAUUGGCGCUGAAGUAGGUGUGGUGGUGAAGAGGACUGUAGUAUAAGCCCAAGUAAAUUAGGAUUUCGACAUUUGUUUGCGGCUCAUAAAACCAAAGGAUUGUGAUCAACUGCAUUGGUAGGUCCUCCCUAGGGUUCCCAGAAGAAAGGGUGUUUGACUGGAAGGUUAUGUGUGUUGCCUGUGUGCUCAGGCCCCUUCUGCAGCCCCUAGAGCCCCCUAGAAACUAUAGCUCUGCCUUCCCUGGUGCAGAAAUGGCUAUAGAGGUCCCAGGAGCCUUAAAAACAAAGCCCUUGAAGCUCCCCAAGUGCAGCGAAUUCAGGUUCUUCAGGUCAGGGCCGCCCCGACGGCCCAAGCGAGGUGCUCCUGGGGCCAGUAGGUGUCGCUGUUUCCCUGCUGGCAGAAGCCUGGAGCCCGACGUUGGCCCCUAGCACCACUCAGUUUUCUGCCCCGGGUGCUUUCCCAGACUCCUCUGAGCUCUAGGGUUGUGGCCGCUCCCAAAUUGUGUUUCCCCCUAAACCCUACCCUGGCUCACCUGGCCAAGGCCGCAGCGACAGUGGUUGGCCUAAGGGAAAAUCUAUGGAGAGAAAAAGGAGAGGCGAAUUUGGAGGGGCCAAAAGGCAGCCCCUACGGAAUAGGCUAAAAACCUGCUUCAUCUGCCACCCGUGCUCCUUUCUCCUCACAGACCGAGGGUGGCAAGGGUCUAUGGGGAGCACCCUGGUAAAACCCCAAAUUUGAAGAAUUCAGACACGGUUUUACUUUGCCUGAAAAUAACAAGAGGUUCAAAACUAGCUUCGCGGGACUUAGUCACAGAAAGAGUUUUCAUGUCCUUGUCUCAAAAGACAAGGAAGGAGGUGUGUGGGGCCGCGCAGAACGCUAGGCCUGGACCACGAGCUGCCUAUGUUUUUGCCCACAUGCCUGUGCGCAGUGUCGGGUGAAGACACUGGCCAACCUUUGCUCUGGCCCUGAAAGGAAGAUCUGAAGUACCCUAGUCUCCCCCACCGCCCUCCCUAAAGCAUUGCUUACUGAGCAUUAAUAUCCGUUGGAUAGGGCUAGCCCAUCUUUGCAAUCUGUAUUAAAAUUCUAGGUAUUGAGAAUUCUGCUCCUUUAUUUGGCGUCCUGCGGGCCCCUGGCUCUGGCUCAGUAUACCAUAAGCGUUCUUUUUGUGUCGGGGGAGGGGGCAUUUGGCUUGCAGAUUCCAAGAGAAACACUUAACAAUGGUUACAUCCUAUAGAUGGCUGGAGAUUUUAUUACGAUCCGGGUUUCUUUGCAUAGGGACCCCACUUCUCUGGAGGAGAAGGUAGCUGGGGGAGCCGGUAUGAAACACCCUACAUUCAGUCUUGGGCAGUCGCAAGAGGUGCUGGGGAGGUGGAAUUAGCUUUGUAUUGAAUGCGAGUCUAAAAAUAAUAUCUGCGGUCAAGAGUUGGCUGUAAUUUUGUAGAGACCCUUACUGCUGGGUUUUGUGUAAAAGUAAAACACUCGCAAAGUGGAAAACCAUAGCAAAUAUAAAACUAGAAGGCAGGGGGAAACUUCUCACUUAAAGUGCCAAGUAUAUUGGGAUAAUUUUCUGUAAUGUCUAGGCUGAGGCAUUUCCCUCUCAGGACCGGCAGCGCAAGAGGCUGCCUAUUCAAAGAGAGGCUGACUUUUUAGCCAGAGUUGGCAAAUAUCUUCAUUAAAUGUCACGCCCUUUGCUGUUUCAUAAAAUUGACUCCUUCCUUUAAAGUCUUCUAUCUGCUAUACAAUUUUAAAUAAUCAUUUCUGGUCGAGACAGCAGAUUUAUCUCUGGGGGUGGGGUAGGACGAACACGUGUCUAAUUGUAGGUUGUGAAGUUCAGUGAGGUGGUAUUUUUAGCUUCUAAUGCUCAAAUUCAUAUAUUUGGAUGUUUCUUCCCGCCUCACCCUUUCUGUUUUCCCCCUGAUCCACUCAACCCUUUCUCUCAUUUUCCGCUCUUUUUUUUUUUUUUUUUUGCCUCUGUCUUCCUUCUCCUCUCUACAGCGCCUCUCGCCCUUCCCUUUCAGUCUUCUCUUUCUCGUCCCUUUUCUUUCUCUUUCCCGCUCGCCCCCUUUCUUGUAUAAUUUAUUGUCUGAUUCUAUCAGUCAAGUUAAUAUGAAACUAGCAAGAGGGAGGCCCACCAGCCUUAUCUGGCCCUCUCCCCGGAGCGCUUAUGCGACUUUAGGGAGCUGUCGGUCGCUGUCGGGUUAUGGAUCACGUGGCUGGUCCUAGGUGCAGAGCACUCUGCUGGUGAAAGAGUUGGGGUCCGGGGCUUAUUCAAAUACCGCCCGCUGCUGCUGUGAUUCGCAGGGACUCGGCCUCCAUAUGACGCCUAAAGGAGCCUGUUCGUGUGCUGUUCCACGUUCUGCUGUGACUGGAUCUUGUCUUCUACCCGGAGCUUCGAUUUCGGUUCGGCUGGAUUUGGGGGACAACACUGCCUGGCGCAGGGACAUCAAAUGACACUUCAAAGAAGCAUAAAAUGAAUAGACUAUUCAAUCAAACAAAGACCGGGGGCGGCAGUACUCCGCAAGACAGCAUCUUCUCCCCAGCCUAGAAGUCCUGAGAAAUCGAGGAUCUCCCCCUAAAACAUUCACAUACAAGAUAUGGGCAAUCAAGCUGCCAGCACUUGGUAAAAAGCUCAUGACGAUCCGGCGCAGAUUUUUGAAUCAGCUGUCACUUCUAUAGAAUGGGAUUUUCCCUCUCUUCCUCUCUAACCAGCUCUGGAAACUGCCAAGGCUUUAAACGUCUCAGUAGAGGAAGGCUAAAGAAUCUUAACGUGAGAACGAAGCAAUUUACAAUGCAAAUAGAGGCCGGUGAAGGGACGGACGCUGCAGCUCAGAGGAACAGCUUGCUGCACCUUAGUCGCUGGUUCUCAUUUUCUGAUAUUAAUAGAUGAAUUGUUGGCUAACGCUGCUGGAGAUUACUUCCUGGAAGGGGAAAAAAGUUUGGAAUAAACUCUGAACGCAACAGAUCUUAUUUGGAUGUUUUAGCCGCACUCACUCAGACAGAAACCAGGUCAUGUUUGCAUGAAAAGAGGAAUUCUUAAACUCGGCAAAUAUCCUGGAGGACUACACUUGUGUAGAUCCCAGAGUGGAGCCGGAUCUGGAGUGCAGCCAGAGGAAGACUUCCUGUGAGGGAAGCGAGUUGUUAUCUUUGGUUAUCUAGCUGUAUGAGUGUAUUGGUCUUCAUAAAGCUAGAUAACCGAAAGUAAAAACUCCUUCAAGAUCACCGAGGAGCGGCCCAGAAUGAAAGCCUACAUCCAAGAGACAGUAAAGGCCAGAAAGGUCAGGAAUGCUUAUUGAAUCUAACUUUUUUUCUUAUGAUUAACAGUGGGAUGCAAGGGAAUUUAGUGACACACAUAAUGACAUCUAAAGGGGCCAGGUUUUGAGAGGGGCUGUACAACUGGAGAGGAGAAUUGUGUGGCUUUUAUGGGUGAAGAUGCAUGGACUGCCUAUAUUGUUCUAUUUUGGAGCAAACGUUUGCAUAUGAGAAAUGUUUUUCUUAGAAAGCUGUUUUAGUGAUGCCUGAUACCUCGUUUAAAAAUGAUUCCAUAAUUAUGUAGAUUUGGGCAGUUCCCUUCUGAGGUCCCUCCCUCAAGUUUGAAGCUUGUGCUUGGAAACUUUCUCUGUAUUUGGAGGCUGUACAUUAAAUUCUAUGAAGUUAGACUUUCAGUAAAGCUUAUUUUGGAAGGUUAAUAAUUUAUAUCUCCCGAGGACUUAGAGCUAGCAGGGAAAAUGGGGGGGGGCGUCUGAUUUUUAUUCUUCUAUUCAAAAUACAAGGACAGAUGCUUCUCUGUUCCAAGAGGGUUUCCUUGAGGAAGUUACUGAAGCAGAAAGACAUGAUGGAGACGAGAUCGCCUCCCCUCUUGUCAAAGUGUUAAAAAAAUGUUCUGUCUUACUCUGUGCCUAGCAUUGGAAAUGAAAGUGACAUUUACGCCACAACCCACGUGUGCGCCUCCUCUCUUUUUGUUUAAGGAUGAUCAGGUCUAUCCAGGAAACAGCUCUGGCAUCCCAAACUGAAAUAAUUAGGACGUAUAUAGACCUGACAAAAAUGGAAAGGGGGUGGGGAACCCGAGGGUCUGUCUUGCCUAAUUGAUUCCGCUGAACGGAAAGCGGGAGAUGUGAACCGCAGGACGCUCCGAUUCCCACGCUCGGGGGCAAGUGGUGAAGCCUGGCCCGCAGCCUAUGACAGACAGCCCUGUUGGGGGGCAGGGGCAUGAAAAAAACCAUCAAGCACACACACCAUACUCAUCUCCAUCGCUUAAGAAAGUAAAGGCUUUUCCCACCCACAGCCAUCUGCAGCCUCCCAAAUGGCAACACCAACUGGUUGGUAGCUACCGCGUACUGUUUCUGUUAAUUUUUAAGCCACUGUUUAACCUGGCCAUCAUUAAAUUUGGCUUUCUUCUUUGGUUGAAAAUUUCAUUAUUUAAGGAAAGCAAGUGGAAAGGGAUGUCAAGGGCAUCCCUCCGAGAAACUCUCAGCCGAAGGGUAGGGCUUUUUGAUCACCUUUUGGCUUUUGUUUUGGCUGUGCUAUAUUUUAAAGUCGUGCGUGGUAACACUCAUUCCAGCUUAGUUCAUAGGGCUGUUUACUUCUUUAUGUGACACAGGAACUUGGCCUACUUAUGCUAAUCUGCAUUCUGGAAAUAAAGCUAUAAAGUCAUCAGUAGAAAGUUGGUUAAAAUCACAAUGUGUUUAAAACUUGUUUUUAGGAUAGUCUCCGCAGGAUGUGUGCUACACCUUCUUCUUUUUCUUCUUUUAUCUAAAAGUAUCUAGUCCUAGCAUAAACUUUGAGGUUUUGGAGAAAUCCAUUGUAAGGCUUUUCUGAAAUUCCUUACAUUUUGUUCCAUGCUAUCAGGCAAACAUUUGUGUGGGCAUUUGCACAUAAACACAACCAUUGCAAUAAAAAAUUGUCCAAAAUUGCCCGUUAUCUUCCACAAAGCCUAAAUUACUGACACUCCCAAAUACACAUUUUUUCUGCAGGGAUAUACAGUGCAUUUUUCUUUAUCACUUCAACUUCUUAUAAGGUUGAGACUGGGAAGGCCUGGAAAGCCACUGUUAGCUUCACAUAAAAAAUGCUGAGAGACUUUAAUAACACAAAUUCUCUAUUUGGCUGCUGAACACGUGCCAAAGUUUUACUACUGUAGUGACUGUUGAGAAGACCCGUGUUUGUUUACCUUUGAAGCACUGUUUGUGCAAACAAGCUCUCAUUGUAAAGUGCCUGUGUUUCUUUCAUUUGCCCCAAGUCCAGGGGUGCUAUUUACCUAGAACCAUUGUCUACUACAAUUAACAUUUACAUUACAAAGUGUGUGGUUUUCUUUCUCAAGGAGGUUCAAUUAAGGCAAUAAGAUGUUUGCUGGGGAAACCUAUUGUUUACUCAAAGCCCUCAAUGGAGUCAAGUUACUCAAGUUUUUGCCUACAUCUUGGUCGUUUAUGUAAAUAUGUUAACUCUAACACCUAAGGAAAAUAAACAAUAUUAAAAUUAUGUGUUUGCCAUUGUCAUAUCAAACUUGCUUUGUAUCACACUAAUGUUACAUAACUUAUCGAUCAAUAAAAAUACAUUUCAAUGUUA